Molecule: non-coding RNA, 285 nt
Organism: Pantherophis guttatus
Lineage: Eukaryota; Metazoa; Chordata; Lepidosauria; Squamata; Colubridae
Source: RefSeq, a predicted model, not a curated record
GUAUGAAUUGUUCAUCCAUUGUAAAGAUAAACUUCUAGAAGUUUAUCUGGGUCCCCAAAACAAGAACAGGACUGUUUUGAAGCAAAUAAGAGUCCCAUUAUGAAUACAUAGAGAAUGGCCAGGUGAAACAAUGGAAAGGUGAUCAAAUAAUGGCUAGGAGAAACAAUGGAAUGAGUCCUUCCAGUAGGAUCACUGUGAGCGCUCUACAGCUUGGAACCUGAUCCUGAGGAUUUGGCUGAAAGAAUAAAAACCCAUUCGGUUGCUAUAGCCACAUUUAUAACUCCC